RNAcentral lists this ribosomal RNA (482 nucleotides) under uncultured bacterium. Its description in RNAcentral is "partial 16S ribosomal RNA". It matches the Rfam family "Bacterial small subunit ribosomal RNA", at positions 30 to 507 of the family's 1533-position model. The record is from RNAcentral.
AUUGAACGCUGGCGGCAUGCUUUACACAUGCAAGUCGAACGGCAGCGCGGGGCAACCUGGCGGCGAGUGGCGAACGGGUGAGUAAUAUAUCGGAACGUACCCAGAAGUGGGGGAUAACGUAGCGAAAGUUACGCUAAUACCGCAUACGAUCUACGGAUGAAAGCAGGGGACCGCAAGGCCUUAUGCUUUUGGAGCGGCCGAUAUCUGAUUAGCUAGUUGGUGAGGUAAAGGCUCACCAAGGCGACGAUCAGUAGCUGGUCUGAGAGGACGACCAGCCACACUGGAACUGAGACACGGUCCAGACUCCUACGGGAGGCAGCAGUGGGGAAUUUUGGACAAUGGGCGCAAGCCUGAUCCAGCAAUGCCGCGUGAGUGAAGAAGGCCUUCGGGUUGUAAAGCUCUUUUGUCAGGGAAGAAACGGUAGAGGCUAAUAUCCUGUGCUAAUGACGGUACCUGAAGAAUAAGCACCGGCUAACUACGUG